GAUGAAGAACGCAGCGAAAUGCGAUAAGUAGUGUGAAUUGCAGAAUUUAGUGAAUCAUCGAAUCUUUGAACGCACAUUGCGCCCCUUGGUAUCCCGAGGGGCAUGCCUGUUCGAGCGUCAUUUCACCACUCAAGCCUGGCUUGGUGUUGGGCGACGUCCUCUUUGGGGACGCGCCUCGAAACGCUCGGCGGCGUGGCACCGGCUUUAAGCGUAGCAGAAUCUUUCGCUUUGGAAGUCGGGGCCCCGUCUGCCGGAAGACCUGCUCGCAAGGUUGACCUCGGAUCAGGCAGGGAUACCCGCUGAACUUAAGCAUAUCAAUAAGCGGAGGA
This 329-nucleotide unclassified non-coding RNA is filed under the name soil metagenome. RNAcentral describes it as "partial contains 5.8S ribosomal RNA, internal transcribed spacer 2, and large subunit ribosomal RNA". The stretch from base 1 to 120 matches the Rfam family "5.8S ribosomal RNA", at positions 35 to 154 of the family's 154-position model. The record is from RNAcentral.